This 748-nucleotide unclassified non-coding RNA is filed under the name soil metagenome. RNAcentral's name for it is "partial contains internal transcribed spacer 1, 5.8S ribosomal RNA, and internal transcribed spacer 2". The stretch from base 151 to 304 matches the Rfam family "5.8S ribosomal RNA". The record is from RNAcentral.
UCGUAGAGCUUCGGCUCUUUCGAGGGAGAACCCUUGCCUUUUCGAGCACCUGUUUGUUUCCUCGGCAGGCCCGCCUGCCAAUGGGGACCUUUUUAAACCCUUGCGAUAACCUGAACAAAAAUCGUCUGAACAAAAAAAAAUCUAAAUCAAAACUUUCAACAACGGAUCUCUUGGUUCUGGCAUCGAUGAAGAACGCAGCGAAAUGCGAUAAGUAGUGUGAAUUGCAGAAUUCAGUGAAUCAUCGAAUCUUUGAACGCACAUUGCGCCCUAUGGUAUUCCGUAGGGCAUGCCUGUUCGAGCGUCAUUUACACCUUCAAGCUUUGCUUGGUAUUGGGUGACUGUGGCCCCUGGGCCACUCGCCUCAAAGUCAUUGGCGGCCGGUACUUGGGCUUCGAGCGCAGCACAUGUGCGUCCUCGGGCCUCUUGAAUCGGCUCCCAGAAGCUAAAUCUCAAUUGUUUGACCUCGAAUCAGGUAGGGAUACCCGCUGAACUUAAGCAUAUCAAUAAGCGGAGAUCGGCAUCUUGGUCAUUUAGAGGAAGUAAAAGUCGUAACAAGGUUUCCGUAGGUGAACCUGCGGAAGGAUCAUUAACGAGUUUUAAUUGUUAGGUUAGAGUUGAGCUGGUUAAUCUAAUUAAUAUGUGCUUACUCUAAUCGAAACAAGUCCACUCAUUACUUAACACUUGUGAACUUAUUCAUUACAAACAUUAUUAUUUGUUAUUGGAACGUUUGAUUAUUAAAAAGUUAAUA